RNAcentral lists this ribosomal RNA (206 nucleotides) under uncultured bacterium. RNAcentral's name for it is "partial 16S ribosomal RNA". It matches the Rfam family "Bacterial small subunit ribosomal RNA", at positions 568 to 774 of the family's 1533-position model. The record is from RNAcentral.
GGAGCAGGCGGCCGCAAGGGUCUGUGGUGAAAGACCGAAGCUAAACUUCGGUAAGCCAUGGAAACCGGGCGGCUAGAGUGCGGAAGAGGAUCGUGGAAUUCCAUGUGUAGCGGUGAAAUGCGUAGAUAUAUGGAGGAACACCAGUGGCGAAGGCGACGGUCUGGGCCGCAACUGACGCUCAUUCCCGAAAGCGUGGGGAGCAAACA